This is a long non-coding RNA of Musa acuminata AAA Group (dessert banana), 557 nucleotides long. RefSeq lists it as uncharacterized. The transcript is spliced from 2 exons. The record is from RefSeq and is a predicted model, not a curated record. Lineage: Eukaryota; Viridiplantae; Streptophyta; Magnoliopsida; Zingiberales; Musaceae.
CAUACGCACGCCGUGGUUGUUCUAGAAUGCAGACGCCGAAGGAGAACAGUGGCCAGAUUUGUCCUUCUCCCAAUACCGGAGGGUUGGUGUUAGGUAAUCGCAUCAGGUGCCCACGGUAAGCAGAGGAAAAGGUUGAAAUCCCACUAUAUCAAGUGUUCGUUUCAGGCUGCAGCAUACGCAGAAACAGAGCGAGGAGAAGGGAGCGAAAGAGGUUUCCAUGGGUGUAGAAAGGUUUCGGUUUGCGGUCGUGCUCAUGUUCUUGGUUUCCUUCCAUGUCCAUGUCUCCAGAAGCACAGAGGCCAGACCACUUCUCAUCGCCAAGGAGAACAGGUAUGUCCAGGUGUUGCAGUCACUUGGAAUCACAUGCCGCUGCUGCGAUGGCGUGGGAGGUGAAUGCCGGAGGAGUUGGGCGUACCCCUGUGCUAAGCUGGAGUGCCACCCUUGCAAGUUCUCGUGAGUUUUGCCUGGGAGCGAGUUCCGUUAUGUAUGUGUAGGAGCUGGUAGUCUUGUAAAUUGUUUCGAGGACUCAAAAUAUAGCAUUGCAAAUACUUCUUUUA